Molecule: ribosomal RNA, 460 nt
Filed under: uncultured bacterium
Lineage: Bacteria
Description: partial 16S ribosomal RNA
Rfam family: Bacterial small subunit ribosomal RNA
Source: RNAcentral
CCUACGUGAGGCAGCAGUGAGGAAUAUUGGUCAAUGGACGAGAGUCUGAACCAGCCAAGUAGCGUGAAGGAUGACUGCCCUAUGGGUUGUAAACUUCUUUUAUAUGGGAAUAAAAUGUUCCACGUGUGGGAUUUUGUAUGUACCAUAUGAAUAAGGAUCGGCUAACUCCGGGCCAGCAGCCGCGGUAAUACGGAGGAUCCGAGCGUUAUCCGGAUGUAUUGGGUUUCACGGGAGCGGAGGUGGAUUGUUAAGUCAGUUGUGAAAGGUUGCGGCUCAACAGUAAAAGUGCAGUGGAAACUGGGAGUCGUGAGUACAGUAGAGGUGAGCGGAAUUCGUGGUGGAGCGGUGAAAUGCGUAGAUAUCACGAAGAACUCCGGUUGCGAAGGCAGCUCACUGGACUGCAACUGACACUGAGGCUCGAAAGUGUGGGUAUCAAACAGGAUGAGAGACCCCGGUAGUC